This 76-nucleotide transfer RNA is filed under the name Lentisphaerota bacterium. Its description in RNAcentral is "Lentisphaerae bacterium (feces metagenome) tRNA-Arg". It matches the Rfam family "tRNA". Rfam says of the family: Transfer RNA (tRNA) molecules are approximately 80 nucleotides in length. The record is from RNAcentral. Lineage: Bacteria; Pseudomonadati; Lentisphaerota. RNAcentral also lists the same sequence under 1 other name.
GCCCCAGUAGCUCAGAGGAUAGAGCAGCUGCCUUCUAAGCAGUUGGUCACAGGUUCGAUUCCUGUCUGGGGUACCA